GUGAGAUGGAAUCAACAUUUGGACAUGUAAUUUCAUGCUGAUUCCAUCUCACGA
This is a non-coding RNA of Solanum tuberosum (potato), 54 nucleotides long. NCBI's taxonomy places the organism in Eukaryota, Viridiplantae, Streptophyta, Magnoliopsida, Solanales, Solanaceae. The record is from Rfam.